RNAcentral lists this transfer RNA (72 nucleotides) under Marmota monax (woodchuck). Its description in RNAcentral is "tRNA.Ala". It matches the Rfam family "tRNA". From Rfam's summary of the family: Transfer RNA (tRNA) molecules are approximately 80 nucleotides in length. The record is from RNAcentral. Lineage: Eukaryota; Metazoa; Chordata; Mammalia; Rodentia; Sciuridae.
GGGCUGUGUAGCUCAGUGGUUGAGCACUUGCCUAGCAUGCACAAAGCCCUGGGUUUGAUCCCCAGCACCCCA